Molecule: ribosomal RNA, 743 nt
Filed under: uncultured bacterium
Lineage: Bacteria
Description: bacterial SSU rRNA
Rfam family: Bacterial small subunit ribosomal RNA
Source: RNAcentral
AGAGUUUGAUCCUGGCUCAGAACGAACGCUGGCGGCAGCCUCAAACAUGCAAGUCUAGGGGGUGUAGCAAUACAUCACCGGCGGACGGGUGCGUAACGCGUGGGAAUAUACCUUUUGGUUCGGAACAACUGAGGGAAACUUCAGCUAAUACCGAAUGUGCCCUAACGGGGAAAGAUUUAUCGCCAAAGGAUUAGCCCGCGUAGGAUUAGCUAGUUGGUGAGGUAAUGGCUCACCAAGGCUCCGAUCCUUAGCUGUUCUGAGAGGAAGAUCAGCCACACUGGGACUGAGACACGGCCCAGACUCCUACGGGAGGCAGCAGUUGGGAAUCUUGGACAAUGGGGGAAACCCUGAUCCAGCCAUGCCGCGUGAGUGAUGAAGGCCUUCGGGUUGUAAAACUCUUUCGACGGGGACGAUAAUGACGGUACCCGUAGAAGAAGCUCCGGCUAACUUCGUGCCAGCAGCCGCGGUAAUACGAAGGGGGCUAGCGUUGUUCGGAAUUACUGGGCGUAAAGCGCGCGCAGGCGGUCUUCCAAGUCAGUGGUGAAAGCCCGGAGCUCAACUCCGGAACUGCCAUUGAAACUGUAAGACUUGAGGACGAGAGAGGUGAGUGGAAUUCCCAGUGUAGAGGUGAAAUUCGUAGAUAUUGGGAAGAACACCGGUGGCGAAGGCGGCUCACUGGCUCGUUUCUGACGCUCAGGCGCGACAGCGUGGGGAUCAAACAGGAUUAGAUACCCUAGUAGUCC